UACAGAGGUCCCAAGCGUUGUUCGGAAUCACUGGGCGUAAAGGGUGCGUAGGCGGCGGCGCAAGUCAGAUGUGAAAUGCCAGGGCUCAACCUUGGAACUGCAUCCGAUACUGCGUUGCUCGAGUACUGGAGGGGAGUCUGGAAUUCACGGUGGAGCAGUGAAAUGCGUGGAGAUCGUGAGGAACACUAGUGGCGUAGGCGAGACUCUGGACAGUUACUGACGCUGAGGCACGAAGGCCAGGGGAGCAAACGGG
This 253-nucleotide ribosomal RNA is filed under the name uncultured bacterium. Its description in RNAcentral is "partial 16S ribosomal RNA". It matches the Rfam family "Bacterial small subunit ribosomal RNA", at positions 524 to 776 of the family's 1533-position model. The record is from RNAcentral.